AACGAACGCUGGCGGCAUGCCUAACACAUGCAAGUCGAACGAGACCUUCGGGUCUAGUGGCGCACGGGUGCGUAACGCGUGGGAACCUGCCCUUAGGUUCGGAAUAACUCCCCGAAAGGGGUGCUAAUACCGGAUAAUUUCUUCGGACCAAAGAUUUAUCGCCUUUGGAUGGGCCCGCGUUGGAUUAGCUAGUUGGUAGGGUAAAAGCCUACCAAGGCGACGAUCCAUAGCUGGUCUGAGAGGAUGAUCAGCCACACUGGGACUGAGACACGGCCCAGACUCCUACGGGAGGCAGCAGUGGGGAAUAUUGGACAAUGGGCGAAAGCCUGAUCCAGCAAUGCCGCGUGAGUGAUGAAGGCCUUAGGGUUGUAAAGCUCUUUUACCCGGGAUGAUAAUGACAGUACCGGGAGAAUAAGCUCCGGCUAACUCCGUG
This 433-nucleotide ribosomal RNA is filed under the name uncultured bacterium. Its description in RNAcentral is "partial 16S ribosomal RNA". It matches the Rfam family "Bacterial small subunit ribosomal RNA", at positions 29 to 507 of the family's 1533-position model. The record is from RNAcentral.